CUGUCCUGAAAAAGUAAUCUGAGAUAAUUUAUAUUUAACAGGAUGAAGGCGGAUCGCUGUCCUGAAAAGCUUGAGCAUAUAGCACUCAAGAUGUGACUUUCUACUAUAUGAAAACUGAAAAUUCUUCAGGAUUCAAAAUAUUCAAGGAUAAUGAUUUUUAAGUUUAUAUGUUGUAGAAAAAAAUUCAGGUUGGGAGGAAUGUUAUAUCCAAUACAUGGCUGCUGAUUAGUUGUCUUGACCAGGGCCACCACCUGGUGGAUGACGUGGUAGUGGAAAUGAGUGUGAAAGAAGCACAUGGUGAGUGAGACCCACAGCACCUGGUCAUAACAGAUGAUAAGUAUUUGACCCAAGGUGGAGCAGUGGUCAUUACCCACCGUCACCCAUCACCAUGCCAAAAACGCCUCCUUACAGCUCCAGUCUCCAUACAGCAUGGUGUCUUCUAGGUGAACAGAUUUUACCUGGCUGGACAUGGGGGACAUGCAUUGUUAAUAUGAAAUAGACAGGAAAUAACAGCUGCAGGAAUAUCCCUUCAUCUCACACAGUUGUGCAAGACACAGCAAGUUUCAGGAUGAAUGGGUUGUGAAGAGCCAGAGACAGGACAGCCAUGAGAGUGCUGCCAGAACCACCCAGAACAAGACUUCCAAACACAGCAGAUCCUGUGGAGCCAGUUAUAUGGAACAGUACAAUUACACAACAAAUGUGGGUUCCAGGUAACACAAAGAAUCAAUUUCCCCCAUAUACAUGGAAACUAUAGAGGCAGGGUAUAUAAAGCAAGGAGAUUGUGUGGGACAAUACUCUAUCACUGAAGACAAAUAGACACAAUGGAAAUGUUUAAAAGUGAAUUGAUAUUUCAGCUCAGUUGUGAUGUGUUAUAAUAAUUUUCCCCAUAUGCAUGGAAACUGUUACAGUACUAGUAGAGGUAGCAUAUAGUGAGAUUGUGGUAGACAAUAAGUCAUCACUGAAGAGAAAAAGACAUCAGUGAAAAUUUUUUAAUGUGAAUAUGUAUUUCAGGUCAGAUAUGAUGUGUUAUAGAUGAUCUCUGUUAUUGUGAGGUCAUUAAGUUGUAUUAUGCAAAUUUUAUCACAUAUUUAUUAUAUACAGACACUCAGUCUGUCUAUAUUCUGAUCACUGUGUCUGUCCAGUGUCAUUGCCAUAGUCAGCACUUUAUGACACAUCUGUUGUUUAUCCUAUAACUGAUAAACUGUAUUUUUGUUUUAAUUUUAAUUCUUCUAGAAAAUCAGCAUGAUUGGAUUAUUUUAUGAUAUUGUUUUGUUAUCUUUAGCAGUUUGGAUAUGAUGGUACAGUAUUUCCUGAGUAUAUCAAAUUCAAGUAAUUUCUGAUUCUGAUAUUUAUUUUAAUUACUAAAUAUUGUCAUCUUGUGAAUUUAUGAAAUUAUUAUAAGUUCAUUGUUAAAUGAUUUAUCAGGUGCAUGACAGUAGUCAGAAGGUUCAUUGGUCUGAUAGUUGGAUGUUGCCAAGAUCCAAUGGUUCAAAAGAUUCACAAGUCAGAAGGUUCAUUGGUCUGAUAGUUUGAUGAUGCCAAGAUCAAGUGGUUCAAAAGGUUCAGUAGUCAGAAGGUUCAUUGGUCUGAUAGUUUGAUGAUGCAAAUGUCCAGCUGUUUCAAAGGUUUGCUAGUCAAAAGGUUCACUAGUCUGAGAGUAUGAAAUGUGUAUGGUGUAAUAUAGCAAUGAUAAUAUUUGUUUAUGUUUUACUUACUGUUCAUGACUCCAUAAUGUCCAAGCUUUGGACAUGUGUUACUUUAUCUGUGAUUUUCAUUGUUUCUUGAACACAAAUAUUUGGUUUUAUGGUCUUGUUGCCUGCUGCUGUAAAGAUGAAGACUAAUGUCAACACAUUUGAGUUAUAUUCGGAAAGCUAAAAACAGUAAUUCCUUUCAGUGAAGUAUUUUAUUUGUCUGAGUUACAUGACAUA
This 1928-nucleotide long non-coding RNA is filed under the name Lingula anatina. RNAcentral describes it as "uncharacterized LOC106164687, transcript variant X1". Lineage: Eukaryota; Metazoa; Brachiopoda; Lingulata; Lingulida; Lingulidae. The record is from RNAcentral.